CUACGGGGGGCUCCAGUGGGGAAUAUUGCACAAUGGGCGCAAGCCUGAUGCAGCCAUGCCGCGUGUAUGAAGAAGGCCUUCGGGUUGUAAAGUACUUUCAGCGGGGAGGAAGGGAGUAAAGUUAAUACCUUUGCUCAUUGACGUUACCCGCAGAAGAAGCACCGGCUAACUCCGUGCCAGCAGCCGCGGUAAUACGGAGGGUGCAAGCGUUAAUCGGAAUUACUGGGCGUAAAGCGCACGCAGGCGGUUUGUUAAGUCAGAUGUGAAAUCCCCGGGCUCAACCUGGGAACUGCAUCUGAUACUGGCAAGCUUGAGUCUCGUAGAGGGGGGUAGAAUUCCAGGUGUAGCGGUGAAAUGCGUAGAGAUCUGGAGGAAUACCGGUGGCGAAGGCAGCCCCCUGGACGAAGACUGACGCUCAGGUGCGAAAGCGUGGGGAGCAAACAGGAUUAGAUACCCGGGUAGUC
This 464-nucleotide ribosomal RNA is filed under the name uncultured bacterium. RNAcentral's name for it is "partial 16S ribosomal RNA". It matches the Rfam family "Bacterial small subunit ribosomal RNA", at positions 339 to 795 of the family's 1533-position model. The record is from RNAcentral.